This 466-nucleotide ribosomal RNA is filed under the name uncultured bacterium. RNAcentral describes it as "partial 16S ribosomal RNA". It matches the Rfam family "Bacterial small subunit ribosomal RNA", at positions 28 to 507 of the family's 1533-position model. The record is from RNAcentral.
GAUGAACGCUGGCGGCGUGCUUAACACAUGCAAGUCGAACGGAAAGGCUCCUGCUUGCAGGGGUACUCGGGUGGCGAACGGGUGAGUAACACGUGGGUGAUCUGCCCUGCACUUCGGGAUAAGCCUGGGAAACUGGGUCUAAUACCGGAUAGGACGAUGGUUUGGAUGCCAUUGUGGAAAGUUUUUUCGGUGUGGGGUGGGCUCGCGGCCUAUCAGCUUGUUGGUGGGGUAAUGGCCUACCAAGGCGUCGACGGGUAGCCGGCCUGGGAGGGGGUACGGCCACAUUGGGACUGAGGUACGGCCCAGACGCCUACGGGAGGCAGCAGUGGGGAAUAUUGCACAAUGGGCGCGAGCCUGAUGCAGCGACGCCGCGUGGGGGAUGACGGCCUUCGGGUUGUAAACUCCUUUCGCUAAGGACGAAGCGCAAGUGACGGUACCUGGAGAAGAAGCACCGGCUAACUACGUG